Molecule: ribosomal RNA, 486 nt
Filed under: Triticum aestivum (bread wheat)
Lineage: Eukaryota; Viridiplantae; Streptophyta; Magnoliopsida; Poales; Poaceae
Description: partial small subunit ribosomal RNA
Source: RNAcentral
AUGAUGGACCCGGCCACCGCCUACCUGCUCGACGAGCUCACCGAUGACUGCCGCAGCGAGUACCGCAACCUCAUGGCCUCGGCCGUGCGCGGCGACUUCGAAACCUGCGGCCUGUACGCGGACCAGCUGAAGCGGCACUGUGCCGAGCAGUUCAAGGAGGGGGUCCUCGGGCUGGAGCACCUCGCCGCCGUGGACGGGCUCUGCGAGAUCGUCGCCCGCGGCAUGGGCACGGCGGAGGGGCCGCGCAGGUACCACAUCAACCUGUCCGUGUUCACCUCGCUGCCGGACAUGUGGGCCAUCGAGCAGCUCUUCCCCAUCAUCCCCAUCCAGCGCCUCCAGGAGCGGCCCGCCGUGGACGGCGUCCUCUCGGACCUGACCUGCGACAGCGACGGCAAGGUGGACCAGUUCAUCGGUGGCAGGAGCAGCCUCCCCCUGCGGUCAAAUUUCGUGUUUUUGACCCUUUUUGCAAACAAAAUCGGGAUCUGA